Molecule: small RNA, 882 nt
Filed under: Pongo abelii (Sumatran orangutan)
Lineage: Eukaryota; Metazoa; Chordata; Mammalia; Primates; Hominidae
Description: retained intron
Source: RNAcentral
CUGACAUUGCAAUCACAAAUCCAGCCCGUGCUGGAAUAUCCACCGUGGUUUGCCGGUGAAGGACCUGGACGCAGACUGACCCACACAGCCGGGGCGGGGAACAAAGGGCUGAGUCGCACUGUGGGACACCUGGGUGCAGUCGUCAUGCUCCCAGCCCUGCCGUCUGCUGUGUCCACAGGAUCAGGCCCCAUCAUGCUGGACGAGGUCCAAUGCAUGGGAACCGAGGCCUCGCUGGCCGACUGCAAGUCCCUGGGUUGGCUGAAGAGCAACUGCAGGCACGAGAGAGACGCCGGUGUUGUCUGCACCAACGAAACCAGGAGCACCCACACCCUGGACCUCUCCAGGGAGCUCUCGGAGGCCCUUGGCCAGAUCUUUGACAGCCAGCGGGGCUGCGACUUGUCCAUCAGCGUGAGUGUGCAGGGCGAGGACGCCCUGGGCUUCUGUGGCCACACGGUCAUCCUGACUGCCAACCCAGAGGCCCAGGCCCUGUGGAAGGAGCCGGGCAGCAAUGUCACCAUGAGUGUGCAUGCUGAGUGUGUGCCCAUGGUCAGGGACUUUCUCAGGUACUUCUACUCCCGAAGGAUCGACAUCGCCCUGUCGUCGGUCAAGUGCUUCCACAAGCUGGCCUCUGCCUAUGGGGCCAAGCAGCUGCAGGGCUACUGUGCGAGCCUCUUUGCCAUCCUCCUCCCCCGGGACCCCUCGUUCCAGACGCCCCUGGACCUGUAUGCCUAUGCAGUGGCCACAGGGGACGCCCUGCUGGAGAAGCUCUGCCUGCAGUUCCUUGCCUGGAACUUCGAGGCCUUGACACAGGCCGAGGCCUGGCCCAGCGUCCCCACAGACCUGCUCCAACUGCUGCUGCCCAGGAGCGACCUGGCAGUGCCC